CUCGGUUGGUAAGGAGCAAUGAAAAAGCGAAUAACUAAACCACAGCGUCACCUGUAGCUGUUGUUAUCUUUCUUGAAGCGUGGUGCACUGGACUCGUGAUCUGAUGUUAAAAGGUCACGAUUUGCAUAGGAAUUUUUGAUCGAGGUAACACAGUUAUGAGGUGAAAGAAGUAGGCCUACGUUUACAGUAUCCGUGGUUUCUGCACGCAGACGUAUAAGUGGGGAAAUAAUAAUGGAGAACAGCUGUGCUAAAAUACCCGAAAUGCAUAUGCAUGGAGGAGAGAAACCAAUGGAAUGUGUAAUCUGUGGAAAUGAGAUGGACAACUGUGAUAUCAACCUAUUCUCUGCCCUGAAUUCCUCUUUGGAGGAUGUUUCUGAUGAAGAGAUAUCAACCAAGAAAGAAAGACACUGGAGGCUUGGGCCAGAAGACCUUAACGAUACGCUUUUGUAUGACUUCUCCGGGUUUGAGAUAUUCAAAGGCCUGGAACAAAUGGAGAGCAGAGAGAAGGCCUGCUGAGUGCUGUGGUUUUAGGGUUAAGUGUUUGGUAUCACAGACUUGGGGGGGGG
Long non-coding RNA from Anguilla rostrata (American eel), 566 nucleotides. RefSeq lists it as uncharacterized. The record is from RefSeq and is a predicted model, not a curated record. NCBI's taxonomy places the organism in Eukaryota, Metazoa, Chordata, Actinopteri, Anguilliformes, Anguillidae. The transcript has 4 exons.